This 794-nucleotide ribosomal RNA is filed under the name uncultured bacterium. RNAcentral's name for it is "bacterial SSU rRNA". It matches the Rfam family "Bacterial small subunit ribosomal RNA", at positions 62 to 839 of the family's 1533-position model. The record is from RNAcentral.
UCGAGCGCGAAAGGACAAUCCGAGUAGAGCGGCGCACGGGUGCGUAACACGUGGAUAAUCUGCCCUUGAAUUCGGGAUAACCUUCCGAAAGGUUGGCUAAUACCGGGUAAGCUCACGGUGACUUCGGUCGCUGUGGGAAAAGUAGACCUCUGUUUACAAGUUUACGUUUGAGGAUGAGUCCGCGGCCCAUCAGCUAGUUGGCGGGGUAAUGGCCCACCAAGGCUACGACGGGUAGCUGGUCUGAGAGGACGAUCAGCCACACUGGAACUGAGACACGGUCCAGACUCCUACGGGAGGCAGCAGUGGGGAAUUUUCCACAAUGGGCGAAAGCCUGAUGGAGCAACGCCGCGUGUGUGAUGAAGGUCUUCGGAUCGUAAAGCACUUUCGACCGGGACGAAAAACCUCUGGCUAACAUCCAGGGGCCUGACGGUACCGGGAGAAGAAGCACCGGCUAACCCUGUGCCAGCAGCCGCGGUAAUACAGAGGGUGCAAGCGUUGUUCGGAAUUAUUGGGCGUAAAGCGCGUGUAGGCGGCUUGGCAAGUCAGAUGUGAAAGCCCAUGGCUUAACCAUGGAAGUGCGUCUGAAACUGCUGAGCUUGAGUGCCGGAGAGGAUGGCGGAAUUCCGCAAGUAGAGGUGAAAUUCGUAGAUAUGCGGAGGAACACCGGUGGCGAAGGCGGCUAUCUGGACGGCAACUGACGCUGAGACGCGAAAGCGUGGGGAGCAAACAGGAUUAGAUACCCUGGUAGUCCACGCUGUAAACGAUGAGAACUAGGUGUCGUGGGUGUUGACCCC